RNAcentral lists this transfer RNA (73 nucleotides) under Bacteroidota bacterium. RNAcentral describes it as "tRNA-Thr". It matches the Rfam family "tRNA". Rfam says of the family: Transfer RNA (tRNA) molecules are approximately 80 nucleotides in length. Their secondary structure includes four short double-helical elements and three loops (D, anti-codon, and T loops). Further hydrogen bonds mediate the characteristic L-shaped molecular structure. tRNAs have two regions of fundamental functional importance: the anti-codon, which is responsible for specific mRNA codon recognition, and the 3' end, to which the tRNAs corresponding amino acid is attached (by aminoacyl-tRNA synthetases). tRNAs cope with the degeneracy of the genetic code in two manners: having more than one tRNA (with a specific anti-codon) for a particular amino acid; and 'wobble' base-pairing, i.e. permitting non-standard base-pairing at the 3rd anti-codon position. The record is from RNAcentral. Lineage: Bacteria; Pseudomonadati; Bacteroidota.
GCCAAUUUAGCUCAGGUGGUAGAGCAGCACCUUCGUAAUGUGCAGGCCGUUGGUUCGACUCCAAUAAUUGGCU